UGAGUUUCUCAUAUGCCUUUUCUUUCCCUGGAGGUGCAAUUUUUCUAUUUGAUUCUAGGUUUUCAUCUAUCCUUUUGUUCUUGUUUAGCUUCAAACCUGGUCUUCUACUCAUUUGAUCUUUAGCUUCAGUUCUUAAAUGAUUCUCUAGAAUCCCCCAAACCUUAGAUUUGGUUUACAGGAAAAAUGAGAGAGAAAGUACUCCCUUGUCUCUGACAUUUCCCAGACUGCUUUUCAGAUGCAGUGUCCGAUGAAUUAGUUAUGUAGCUGCCACAAGUUUAUUAAUUUUCAAGUUUUGACAAUGGAUAACCGAAUUAAUUGUAUUUGGGUGAACUUUUAUUUGGAUGGUUGUACGUCGUAUUAAAUAUUAAUUGUAUUUCAGUUAUUUGGAUGACGUGUUGGUGUUGGUUUUGUUUGAACAUAUUAUGGACUAUGGUAAUAAAUUAAACUUUGUUCAAACCGACCAACCCAAC
RNAcentral lists this long non-coding RNA (470 nucleotides) under Olea europaea (common olive). RNAcentral describes it as "long non-coding RNA (OEUR_LNC012423)". The record is from RNAcentral. Lineage: Eukaryota; Viridiplantae; Streptophyta; Magnoliopsida; Lamiales; Oleaceae.